GUGCAUUCUUAAACACUCUUGGUAGCAUAAUGUGCUUCAAAGAUAUUAGUGAAUGCUAUAGAAAUAACAGGGGCGUCCAAAGGGCUGUGCUUCUCCUGUGGCUCAGUCUUAUUUCAUACCUGUGACAUCA
This is a small nucleolar RNA of Suncus etruscus (white-toothed pygmy shrew), 130 nucleotides long. RefSeq annotates it as small nucleolar RNA SNORA14. The transcript has a single exon. The record is from RefSeq and is a predicted model, not a curated record. NCBI's taxonomy places the organism in Eukaryota, Metazoa, Chordata, Mammalia, Eulipotyphla, Soricidae.